GGGGGGAUCAUUACCGAGUUUACAACUCCCAAACCCAAUGUGAACCAUACCAAACUGUUGCCUCGGCGGGGUCACGCCCCGGGUGCGUCGCAGCCCCGGAACCAGGCGCCCGCCGGAGGGACCAACCAAACUCUUUUCUGUAGUCCCCUCGCGGACGUUAUUUCUUACAGCUCUGAGCAAAAAUUCAAAAUGAAUCAAAACUUUCAACAACGGAUCUCUUGGUUCUGGCAUCGAUGAAGAACGCAGCGAAAUGCGAUAAGUAAUGUGAAUUGCAGAAUUCAGUGAAUCAUCGAAUCUUUGAACGCACAUUGCGCCCGCCAGUAUUCUGGCGGGCAUGCCUGUCCGAGCGUCAUUUCAACCCUCGAACCCCUCCGGGGGGUCGGCGUUGGGGACCUCGGGAGCCCCUAAGACGGGAUCCCGGCCCCGAAAUACAGUGGCGGUCUCGCCGCAGCCUCUCCUGCGCAGUAGUUUGCACAACUCGCACCGGGAGCGCGGCGCGUCCACGUCCGUAAAACACCCAACUUCUGAAAUGUUGACCUCGGAUCAGGUAGGAAUACCCGCUGAACUUAAGCAUAUCAA
RNAcentral lists this ribosomal RNA (579 nucleotides) under Trichoderma atroviride. RNAcentral's name for it is "eukaryotic LSU rRNA". The stretch from base 199 to 352 matches the Rfam family "5.8S ribosomal RNA". Lineage: Eukaryota; Fungi; Ascomycota; Sordariomycetes; Hypocreales; Hypocreaceae. The record is from RNAcentral.